CACAUGACAUGCAGUCUAACAGAAGUGUUCAUGACACUGCUGCUGCCCGGGCUGUCAUGAAGUCCAUCCCCACAUCACUGACCAAUACAUUCAGUUUAAGGUUCUAUUCACUAUGUGUCUAUAUGCCUUUCAUUUGUGGUCUGGCACGGCUCUAAAUUUCCCUGAAACGCCUUCAUUUUCAUGAUUUAUCUGAUCUGCAAAACUGGAUUCGAAAUGCCUUUGAAUCCACGAUAAGAGCAGCAACGCUGACCUGAGCAACGAGGCCUGCAGGUGUCGCCAAAGCGGCCCGCUCAGCCGGCGCCGUGCAGCAGCGAGGCUCGGCGUUUAUUUCGCUUCCCCAGACUGGGAACCACUACAGCAGUGGGACUGGACGUCUAGCGACACGACCGCGGGCAGACGCGUCAGUGACAGCCAUAUGAAAGCAGUUGGAUUUGUGGAGAAAGUCAAACUACAACAUCGCCAGUGAAGGAUGAGAAGUUCAUGCUGAAACAUGUAAAAAUCAGUCCAGGAGCCACCUUGACAGAGCCGAGGGUUCAGCCGCUCAUUACUGAAGCGGAGGAAGAGGAAGGCGUCCAGGGGUCUUUGACUGCAGAGGUGAGGCACGUCCGCUCCGGAAGGACACUGACUGAACUCAGACAGAAAAAGGAUCCCGUGAUGUAGAUCGGUGAAGAUCAAUCAAAGCCGUGACCACUAGUAUUUAAAAUAUCUGGGAUUCAAGGAUUAUGAAUUGUUAAGCAACACAAAACUAUGCAAAACUAAAUGAAAUGAUAGCAACACAUGACAAACAAAACAAAACACGCUUGCCCCAGGACCUAGCUUGGUUAGCUCAGCUUCCAUCUGAGCUCUUCUCCCUCUCCCCCCUGGGGGGCCUUUGGUCCGGCAAGUCAGCCAGGUGGUCAACGGUGGGAGUUGGUUAUCGCUGCAGCUUUGCAGAUGUUCAGUGUACUCUGUUAUAUUCCAUAACUGUCCCGUAAUAAACAUGACAAAAGCCACUCAAUAGACACACAAACAGACCAGCUGCUCGCAAAGUCAAACACACAAGGCCCUUUAUGUAAUUGAUUUGUUUUUUCAAAUCAGAGAUGAAACAUGAAAGAAGGGGGAUAGAAAAGGGGUGGGAGGUAGAGACGUAGACAACAAGGGGUCAAAGGUCAGGCAGCGUUGUUUAAAUCAAAGCAGGAGGUGAUAGUUCUUCAAAGGAUUAAAGCAUGACGAGGCUCUGGGAGGAAGAGAGCAGAAAGAGGGGAGAGGUAGCAAUUUGCCGAAGGGCGGGAGAAGUGUGAAAAAAGGAAUCGCCAGAAACAACUAAUGCUGCAUAUCGAAUCUCAGGCCCUCAGCGGCGCGGAAAUACUUUUAGAUUAGCACAGACGUGUGGAAAAAAUAA
This is a long non-coding RNA of Gasterosteus aculeatus aculeatus (three-spined stickleback), 1381 nucleotides long. The record is from Ensembl. NCBI's taxonomy places the organism in Eukaryota, Metazoa, Chordata, Actinopteri, Perciformes, Gasterosteidae.